RNAcentral lists this ribosomal RNA (3019 nucleotides) under Vicinamibacteria bacterium. Its description in RNAcentral is "23S ribosomal RNA". It matches the Rfam family "Bacterial large subunit ribosomal RNA". Lineage: Bacteria; Pseudomonadati; Acidobacteriota; Vicinamibacteria. The record is from RNAcentral.
GGUCAAGCUACUAAGGGCGUACGGUGGAUGCCUUGGCGCAGGACGGCGAUGAAGGACGUGGCAAGCUGCGAUAAGCCUCGGAUAGCCGCAAACAGGCUCCGACCCGAGGAUUUCCGAAUGGGGCAACCCGUCUAGGGUAAUCCUAGAUCACGCAAGGUGAAUACAUAGCCUUGCGUAGCCAACCCGGGGAAGUGAACCAUCUCAGUACCCGGAGGAAAAGAAAGCAAAUGCGACUCCCCUAGUAGCGGCGAGCGAACGGGGAUGAGCCCAAACCUCUUUUAUGUCAAGUCUGUCGACGUUGUAGAAGAGGGGUUGUAGGGCCGGACGUGACACUGGACAGCAGUGUCGGGAAGUUACAAAUCGAUCUCUUAGCCGAACAGUCUGGGACGGCUGGCGAUACAGGGUGAAAGCCCCGUAGGCGAAAAGAGUGAGACUUCCUUGUUCGGUUCCUGAGUACCGCGGGGCACGUGAAACCCUGCGGGAAUCUGGGAGGACCAUCUCCCAAGGCUAAGUACGUGCCUGCGACCGAUAGUGAACCAGUACCGUGAGGGAAAGGUGAAAAGAACCCCUAUAGGGGAGUGAAAUAGUACCUGAAACCGUGCGCUUACAAGCAGUUGGAGGGCGUUUCACCGGGGCAACCCGGUAAGCCUGACAGCGUGCCUUUUGCAUAAUGAGCCGGCUAGUUUUUCUCAGCGGCAAGGUUAAGCGUUAAGCGAGCCGUAGCGAAAGCAAGUCUGAAUAGGGCGAAUUAGUCGCUGGGAAAAGACGCGAAGCGAGGUGAUCUACCCAUGGCCAGGGUGAAAGUCGGGUAACACCGACCGGAGGCCCGAACCAGUGUUGGUUGAAAACAGCUUGGAUGAGCUGUGGGUAGGGGUGAAAGGCUAAUCAAACCUCGUGAUUGCCCGUUCUCUUCGAAAUAGCUUUAGGGCUAGCGUCGUGUAUAACUUCCGGGGGUAAAGUACUGAAUGGACUAGGGCCUUUACCGAGGUACCGAAUCCAAUCCAACUCUGAAUACCGGAAAGUUCAAUCACGGCAGUCAGACAGUGGGGGCUAAGCUCCAUUGUCAAAAGGGAAACAGCCCAGACCGUCAGCUAAGGUCCCAAAGUGCCGUCUUAGUGGUAAAGGAUGUGGAUCCGCACAGACAACCAGGAGGUUGGCUUAGAAGCAGCCAUCCUUUAAAGAAAGCGUAAUAGCUCACUGGUCAAGUGGAUCUGCGCCGAUAAUUCAACGGGGCUCAAGACGGCCACCGAAGCUACGGACUUGUUGGUGAUACGUCACUAACAAUUGGUAGAAGAGCGUUCCAUACUCGAUGAAGCCCGACCGACAAGGACGAGUGGAGGGUAUGGAAGAGACCCUGCCGGCACAAGUAGCGAUAAAACGUGUGAAAACCAUGUUCGCCGUAAACCUAAGGUUUCCUGAGCUAGGUCAAUCCGCUCAGGGUUAGUCGGGCCUAAGGCAAGGCCGAAAGGCGUAGCCGAUGGGAAACGGGUCAACAUUCCCGUACCGUCAUGCAACGAUAAAGACCGAUGGGGUGACGCAGAAGGGCAGAUCAGCCUACGAUUGGUUGUGUAGGUUCAAGUAUGUACGAAGGCUUCGUUGGUAAAUCCGUGAAGCUUUUUCCGAGAUACGAUGUCAAGAGCUUCGGCUCAUAAAGUGAUCGAUCCCAUGCUGCCAAGAAAAGCCUCUAAGGAGUUGUAGGGCGACCGUACCGCAAACCGACACAGGUAGGUGAGGAGAAAAUCCUAAGGCGCUAGUGAGAAUUCUCGUUUAGGAACUAGGCACAUUAACCCCGUAACUUCGGGAGAAGGGGUGCCUCUUUGGGUCAGGAGACUUGCUUUCCAAAGCCCAAGGGGGUCGCAGCGAAUCGGCUCAGGCGACUGUUUACUAAAAACACAGGGCUCUGCAAAGUCAUAAAAACGACGUAUAGGGUCUGACGCCUGCCCGGUGCCGGAAGGUUAAAGAGAGGGGUUAGACGCAAGGCGAAGCUCUGAACUGAAGCCCCGGUAAACGGCGGCCGUAACUAUAACGGUCCUAAGGUAGCGAAAUUCCUUGUCGGGUAAGUUCCGACCUGCACGAAUGGCGUAACGAUCUGAGCGCUGUCUCAACGAGGAGCACUGCGAAUCUGUAGUACCGGUGAAGAUGCCGGUUUCCCGCAACUAGACGGAAAGACCCCGUGCACCUUUACUGCACCCUAGCCUUGAACUUGGGUGCGUUCUGCGCAGGAUAGGUGGGAGGCUUUGAACCCGGGAUUUUGGUCUCGGGGGAGCCAACGGUGAGAUACCACCCUUAACGCACUUAGGUUCUAACCUGCUCCCCUAUAUCGGGGAGAGAGACACGGCUAGGCGGGUAGUUUGACUGGGGCGGUCGCCUCCCAAAGAGUAACGGAGGCGCUCGAAGGUUCCCUCAGGCUGUUUGGAAAUCAGCCGGCGAGUGUAAAGGCACAAGGGAGCUUGACUGCGAGACCUACAAGUCAAGCAGGUGCGAAAGCAGGACUUAGUGAUCUGGUGGUUCCGCAUGGAAGGGCCAUCACUUAACGGAUAAAAGGUACGCCGGGGAUAACAGGCUGAUCUGGUCCAAGAGUUCACAUCGACGACCAGGUUUGGCACCUCGAUGUCGGCUCAUCGCAUCCUGGAGCUGUAGAAGGUUCCAAGGGUUGGGCUGUUCGCCCAUUAAAGCGGUACGUGAGCUGGGUUUAGAACGUCGCGAGACAGUUCGGUCCCUAUCUGUUGUGGGCGAAGGAGAUUUGAGGGGAGCUGUCCUUAGUACGAGAGGACCGGGAUGGACGAACCUCUAGUGCACCAGUUGUCACGCCAGUGGCAUCGCUGGGUAGCUACGUUCGGUAGGGAUAAACGCUGAAAGCAUCUAAGCGUGAAGCCCACCCCAAGAUGAGAUCUCCCGCAGGGUAACCUGCCUAAAGACCCCUGGAAGACUACCAGGUUGAUAGGCCCGAGGUGUAAGGAACGAGCGCAAGCACAGUUCUUUAGCUGACGGGUACUAAUCGGUCGUGAGGCUUGACCAU